This 45-nucleotide non-coding RNA is filed under the name Schistosoma curassoni. Lineage: Eukaryota; Metazoa; Platyhelminthes; Trematoda; Strigeidida; Schistosomatidae. The record is from RNAcentral.
AUCCAACUGAUGAGUCCCAAAUAGGACAGGAAGCCUGUCUUGGAU